RNAcentral lists this long non-coding RNA (266 nucleotides) under Phoenix dactylifera (date palm). RNAcentral describes it as "long non-coding RNA (PDAC_LNC019621)". Lineage: Eukaryota; Viridiplantae; Streptophyta; Magnoliopsida; Arecales; Arecaceae. The record is from RNAcentral.
UAUAACUCAAGGCAAUAAUGUUAGAAUAAGAUUAAUGAGCAUAGAUCAGAGCCAAUUAAGAUAAUUUCAGAGCAGAACAUAUCGAAUGUGAUUCCAAAGAUAGUUUUCAAAUCAAGUGUAGGUGGAAUCUUUCUUAAGUUAAUUCAAGAAGUACCACGAAUGAUAUUCAAAGAAAGCACGAAUGGAAAUCUAACCUCUCUUCAAUAAUAAGUAUGAAAGCUUGUUCAUUUAAGAUCUUUUGCCCAAUAUAUUAAGUAUUUUAUCAG